UCACAAAACAAUCAAAUUGAAGGCUCAAACCUGAUCAAAAGCGAAAUCUGAACAUAGAUUAGUGAUCCUCAUCACAAGAGGGUUACAAGGAAAGGAAGCCGGGACAUCAAGCGGGCAAACCGGUGUAGACGCACGUUUGAAGGGCUUGCUUUAAAGGUGAUGAUUUGGAUCUUAAGGAUGACGGUCGAGCGGAUAAUGAAGAACCGAAC
Molecule: long non-coding RNA, 209 nt
Organism: Helianthus annuus (common sunflower)
Lineage: Eukaryota; Viridiplantae; Streptophyta; Magnoliopsida; Asterales; Asteraceae
Exons: 3
Source: RefSeq, a predicted model, not a curated record